RNAcentral lists this ribosomal RNA (246 nucleotides) under uncultured bacterium. RNAcentral describes it as "partial 16S ribosomal RNA". It matches the Rfam family "Bacterial small subunit ribosomal RNA", at positions 524 to 765 of the family's 1533-position model. The record is from RNAcentral.
GACGUAGGGCGCGAGCGUUGUCCGGAUUUAUUGGGCGUAAAGAGCUCGUAGGCGGCUUGUCGCGUCGACUGUGAAAACCCGCGGCUCAACUGCGGGCCUGCAGCCGAUACGGGCAGGCUAGAGUUCGGUAGGGGAGGACUGGAAUUCCUGGUGUAGCAGUGAAAUGCGUAGAUAUCAGGAGGAAUACCGAUGGCGAAGGCAGGUCUGCUGGGCUGACACGUGACGCUCGAUGCACGAAAGCGUGGG